UACAGAGGGUGCGAGCGUUAAUCGGAAUUACUGGGCGUAAAGCGCGCGUAGGCGGCUUUGCAAGUCGGGUGUGAAAUCCCCAGGCUUAACCUGGGAACUGCAUUCGAGACUGCAUUGCUAGAGUAUGGGAGAGGGAAGUGGAAUUUCCGGUGUAGCGGUGAAAUGCGUAGAUAUCGGAAGGAACACCAGUGGCGAAGGCGACUACCUGGCCUGUUCUUGACGCUGAGGCGCGAAAGCUAGGGGAGCAAACGGG
RNAcentral lists this ribosomal RNA (253 nucleotides) under uncultured bacterium. RNAcentral's name for it is "partial 16S ribosomal RNA". It matches the Rfam family "Bacterial small subunit ribosomal RNA", at positions 524 to 776 of the family's 1533-position model. The record is from RNAcentral.